GGCCAUAGUCCUGUCACAUUCCCAAA
This 26-nucleotide non-coding RNA is filed under the name Mus musculus (house mouse). Lineage: Eukaryota; Metazoa; Chordata; Mammalia; Rodentia; Muridae. The record is from RNAcentral.